Molecule: non-coding RNA, 85 nt
Organism: Lentinula novae-zelandiae
Lineage: Eukaryota; Fungi; Basidiomycota; Agaricomycetes; Agaricales; Omphalotaceae
Source: the annotation of a GenBank genome assembly
ACACCGUUGGUGAAGUGGUUAUCAUGCUUGCCUUCCAAUAUUAUAUAGUCAGCAAGCGGCUCGGGUUCGAUUCCCGAACGGUGUA